GGCUGCUUAGCUCAGCUGGCUAGAGCAUACGCUUCAUACGUGUGAGGUCCGGGGUUCGAGUCCCUGAGCAGCCA
Molecule: transfer RNA, 74 nt
Filed under: Trichlorobacter lovleyi SZ
Lineage: Bacteria; Pseudomonadati; Thermodesulfobacteriota; Desulfuromonadia; Geobacterales; Geobacteraceae
Description: Geobacter lovleyi SZ tRNA
Rfam family: tRNA
About the family: Transfer RNA (tRNA) molecules are approximately 80 nucleotides in length.
Source: Rfam by way of RNAcentral